AUUGAACGCUGGCGGAAUGCUUUACACAUGCAAGUCGAACGGUAGAGGGGGCAACCCCUUGAGAGUGGCGAACGGGUGAGUAAUAUAUCGGAACGUGCCCAGUCGUGGGGGAUAACGUAGCGAAAGUUACGCUAAUACCGCAUACGAUCUAUGGAUGAAAGCGGGGGAUCGCAAGACCUCGCGCGAUUGGAGCGGCCGAUAUCAGAUUAGGUAGUUGGUGGGGUAAAGGCCCACCAAGCCGACGAUCUGUAGCUGGUCUGAGAGGACGACCAGCCACACUGGGACUGAGACACGGCCCAGACUCCUACGGGAGGCAGCAGUGGGGAAUUUUGGACAAUGGGCGAAAGCCUGAUCCAGCAAUGCCGCGUGCAGGAUGAAGGCCCUCGGGUUGUAAACUGCUUUUGUACGGAACGAAAAGCUUCUGGUUAAUACCUGGAGUCAUGACGGUACCGUAAGAAUAAGCACCGGCUAACUACGUG
RNAcentral lists this ribosomal RNA (479 nucleotides) under uncultured bacterium. Its description in RNAcentral is "bacterial SSU rRNA". It matches the Rfam family "Bacterial small subunit ribosomal RNA", at positions 30 to 507 of the family's 1533-position model. The record is from RNAcentral.